RNAcentral lists this ribosomal RNA (1269 nucleotides) under uncultured fungus. RNAcentral's name for it is "eukaryotic LSU rRNA". The stretch from base 598 to 1269 matches the Rfam family "Eukaryotic large subunit ribosomal RNA", at positions 1 to 649 of the family's 3401-position model. The record is from RNAcentral. Lineage: Eukaryota; Fungi.
AAGUCGUAACAAGGUUUCCGUAGGUGAACCUGCGGAAGGAUCAUUAUUGAAAUAAAGGCUGUUGCUGGUCCUCACUGAGGACAUGUGCACGCUUGUUGUUAUUUUUCCAACUGUGCACAUAUUGUAGACCUGGAAGUCUUUUAUUGUUGGGAUAGAUUGAGGACUGCCAAUGCGGCUUUGCCUUGUAUUUCCAGGUCUAUGUUGUAAUACAAACGAAUGAAUGUCGAGUACUGGAAAAUAUGAAAUAAUAAUACAACUUUCAGCAACGGAUCUCUUGGCUCUCGCAUCGAUGAAGAACGCAGCGAAAUGCGAUAAGUAAUGUGAAUUGCAGAAUUCAGUGAAUCAUCGAAUCUUUGAACGCAUCUUGCGCUCCUUGGUAUUCCGAGGAGCAUGCCUGUUUGAGUGUCAUUAAAAGUUCUCAACCACUCUGGUUCUUUCUGGUGUGGCUUGGAUUUGAGGGGUUUUGCAGGCUUUUGAACUGAAGUCGGCUCCCUUGAAAAGGAUUAGUGAUGUCUGAGCAGAAGCCACCAUGGGUGUGAUAAUUAUCUAUGCCUUGGUGAAUGCCUGACCACAAAAGCUGUUGUGUUUNGACAAAUUUGACCUCAAAUCAGGUAGGACUACCCGCUGAACUUAAGCAUAUCAAUAAGCGGAGGAAAAGAAACUAACGAGGAUUCCCCUAGUAACUGCGAGUGAAGCGGGAAAAGCUCAAAUUUGAAAUCUGGCGGUCUUUGUGGCUGUCCGAGUUGUAAUCUAGAGAAGUGUUUACCUGUGCUGGACCGUGUAAAAGUCUCCUGGAAUGGAGCAUCAUAGAGGGUGAGAAUCCCGUCUUUGACAUGGACUGCCUGUACGUCAAGGUGCGCUCUCGAAGAGUCGAGUUGUUUGGGAAUGCAGCUCAAAAUGGGUGGUAAAUGCCAUCUAAAGCUAAAUAUUGGCGAGAGACCGAUAGCGAACAAGUACCGUGAGGGAAAGAUGAAAAGAACUUUGGAAAGAGAGUUAAACAGUACGUGAAAUUGCUGAAAGGGAAACGCUUGAAGUCAGUCGCGUUUGCUGGAAAUCAGCCUUGCUUUUGCUUGGUGUACUUUCCUGUCGACGGGUCAGCAUCAGUUUUGACCAUUGGAUAAGGGCGAUGGGAAUGUGGCAUCCUUGGAUGUGUUAUAGCCCAUUGUCGCAUACGGUGGUUGGGAUUGAGGAACUCAGCACGCCCGCAAGGGCAGGGUCUUCUGACCACGACUCGUGCUUAGGAUGCUGGCAUAAUGGCUUUAAUCGACC